Salvia splendens (bonfire salvia) is the source of this 736-nucleotide long non-coding RNA. RefSeq lists it as uncharacterized. Lineage: Eukaryota; Viridiplantae; Streptophyta; Magnoliopsida; Lamiales; Lamiaceae. The record is from RefSeq and is a predicted model, not a curated record. The transcript is spliced from 2 exons.
UCUUCAUCUCUCUCUCAAUCACUAUUCAUCUUCUUCCCCCAAAUUGCACAAAAUAGAAAAAAAAAACCCCUUCUCUAAAUUUAGAGUUUCAGCUCCCUCCCCUCCAUCAUCUUCUCCUUUCCUCUCUCCCCCCCUUUCUCGGUUCUUCCUCUUCCUCUCCCGGAGCAGCCUCCCUCUCAUGCCUCUCUCACUCUCUCUCUAUUCUCCGGCGAAGACGUUGCCACUUUGACGGAAAUCUCGGAGUCCGCCGUCGUGCGGGCCCUCGCGCCGUCCUCUACUUCACGCCACGAGCAGCAGCUCCUACCGCCGUCGUCCUGCUGCGGAUCCGCCCCAGCCGCCGUCGCGGGUCCGCCCCAGCCGCCAUCGCCGAGGAUCUCCUCCCCCUUCCAGCCGCCGACGCCGAUUUCGACAAGCAAGAGAUUGUGAAAUUAUCCUCGGCAGUGAGUGGUGCGGGCUGCCGGAGCUGUUGACGGAUCUCCGGCAGAAGUGUGCUCCCAAGUUAAACUUCUCUAACCUUUUGAUUAUUAUUGAAUUUAUUUUGGGUUUUCACGUUUUUGGAUCUACUUUACGUUUUUGGAUCUAUUUUAGUAUUUCUUGAAAUUUGGAAGACUUGAAGGUGAAACAUACUAUUAGACUAGACUAGGUGUUGUAAAUUCCAAAUUUGGGCAGAUUCUAACUUUGAAAUUGUAUAUACAUGCUUGUACAUAGAUGAAAGAAAAGAAAGGCUUGAUGUUUA